Molecule: small RNA, 97 nt
Filed under: Treponema lecithinolyticum
Lineage: Bacteria; Pseudomonadati; Spirochaetota; Spirochaetia; Treponematales; Treponemataceae
Description: TD-2 RNA
Rfam family: TD-2 RNA
About the family: non coding RNA found in Treponema denticola
Source: RNAcentral
CCGCCACGGAUGGCGGUGGUUCAACACAAUAGCGAUGUUUUUUGCCUUGCAAAAAACUCGACGUUAAGCAGUGUACACGGAUGUACACUGCUUAACA